CAACCCUCAAGCUCUGCUUGGUAUUAGGCUUCACCUGCUACAGGUGGGCCCCAAAAUCAGUGGCGGUGCCAUCUGGCUUCAAGCGUAGUAAUUUUUCUCACUUGGGAGUACCAGUUGUGUGCCUGCUAUUAAAACCCCAAUUUUUUAAGG
RNAcentral lists this unclassified non-coding RNA (150 nucleotides) under uncultured Helotiales. RNAcentral describes it as "sequence contains ITS2". The record is from RNAcentral. Lineage: Eukaryota; Fungi; Ascomycota; Leotiomycetes; Helotiales.